Molecule: unclassified non-coding RNA, 78 nt
Filed under: Pedobacter soli
Lineage: Bacteria; Pseudomonadati; Bacteroidota; Sphingobacteriia; Sphingobacteriales; Sphingobacteriaceae
Description: Flavo-1 RNA
Source: RNAcentral
AAUUAGCCCCGAUAGAACGGAAAGCCCGCAUCCCGAUUUUUCAUCGGGAGAGGACUUGCAGAGAAAGCGGGACCGAAC